Molecule: ribosomal RNA, 600 nt
Filed under: Microbacterium schleiferi
Lineage: Bacteria; Bacillati; Actinomycetota; Actinomycetes; Micrococcales; Microbacteriaceae
Description: bacterial SSU rRNA
Rfam family: Bacterial small subunit ribosomal RNA
Source: RNAcentral
UUGCUCUGUGGAUCAGUGGCGAACGGGUGAGUAACACGUGAGCAAUCUGCCCCUGACUCUGGGAUAAGCGCUGGAAACGGCGUCUAAUACCGGAUACGAGCUGCGAAGGCAUCUUCAGCAGCUGGAAAGAAUUUCGGUCAGGGAUGAGCUCGCGGCCUAUCAGCUUGUUGGUGAGGUAACGGCUCACCAAGGCGUCGACGGGUAGCCGGCCUGAGAGGGUGACCGGCCACACUGGGACUGAGACACGGCCCAGACUCCUACGGGAGGCAGCAGUGGGGAAUAUUGCACAAUGGGCGAAAGCCUGAUGCAGCAACGCCGCGUGAGGGACGACGGCCUUCGGGUUGUAAACCUCUUUUAGCAGGAAAGAAGCGAAAGUGACGGUACCUGCAGAAAAAGCGCCGGCUAACUACGUGCCAGCAGCCGCGGUAAUACGUAGGGCGCAAGCGUUAUCCGGAAUUAUUGGGCGUAAAGAGCUCGUAGGCGGUCUGUCGCGUCUGCUGUGAAAACCCGAGGCUCAACCUCGGGCCUGCAGUGGGUACGGGCAGACUAGAGUGCGGUAGGGGAGAUUGGAAUUCCUGGUGUAGCGGUGGAAUGCGCAGA